RNAcentral lists this ribosomal RNA (231 nucleotides) under uncultured bacterium. RNAcentral describes it as "partial 16S ribosomal RNA". It matches the Rfam family "Bacterial small subunit ribosomal RNA", at positions 15 to 228 of the family's 1533-position model. The record is from RNAcentral.
GAUCCUGGCUCAGGACGAACGCUGGCGGCGUGCCUAAUACAUGCAAGUAGAACGCACAGUUUAUACCGUAGCUUGCUACACCAUAGACUGUGAGUUGCGAACGGGUGAGUAACGCGUAGGUAACCUGCCUGGUAGCGGGGGAUAACUAUUGGAAACGAUAGCUAGUACCGCAUAAUAUUAAUUAUUGCAUGAUAAUUAAUUGAAAGGUGCAAUUGCACCACUACCAGAUGG